GUGGCAUAGUGAUGAUGUUACCAGUAGAGAAGGAUCCCAGCCGCACAAAGAACCACGUUCCGCUGAGCUUUGUAGAUCUGAACACACAAGUAAACUGGUAAGUUUGCUGAGCUAAAACAUUUUAGGGAAGAAGAACAUAAGCCACGAAUAAUGUGUGGCAAUAGAUUCAACAGAUAAUAAACGCAGAACUAACAAAAAAAGGCUCAGAUCAGAGUUUGGGAAACAUAGGGAAUCAGAAGUGGUUAGUUAGUUAAAUUCCAUUAACAAUCAAACCAACAUAUUCUCACAAGAAGAGAGCAAAAAUAGAAAAUGAAACCAGUUUCAUUCCAAUAAACCUAUAGAUCCAGACGGUUACACUAAUAUAAGAUUCCUUGCAACAUUGUAAUACUCAAUCUCUAUAUGUACUGAACUAACUUAUAGCAAAUAACUCGAUCCUCCGAUGUUUUAAGCUUCAACUAAACAAAGAUAGACAUGACCACAAACACGCUUUGACUCACAUGAGGAAACAAUCUUAAAACAGAAAGUAUUAGAUGAUAUACUUACGGAUUUCUCGUAGCGAUCACGCUCGGUGGCAGUGCAAACCUCAGAUGAGCACAUUAGUCUAUGCUCAUUCUUCCAGUAAAGAUCUGAAACAAAGUAACCAAAUUUCAUAUUACCAAAAAUCACUCAACCUAACUAUAAAUGAAUUGACAGAGAGGGAGAGAUCACCGAGGAGUUGAAAUCCAGCGAAGGCGACGAUGGAGGCGGCAGGCUGGAGUAUGAGCGAGACAAGUGACACGACGCGUUUCUUCACGAGCAUAGGGUAAGGUAGAGUCAAAAUGACUGCGAUCGCGACCUCGGCAGCAACCACAUACGACAGAAUCAGCCAUUGCAAUGCCAUUUUUGUUCUUCUUCUUCCUCCUCUAGAUCUCUCUCUCUCUCUCUCGGGCUUCCUUUUUAAUGAUCUGGAUUCUCCGCGCGACGGACACGUUAUCUACGCCGUGUGCGAGUGCCGGGCGGUUUUUGACUUUUUUUUUUAUCUUUAAUGGUUUUUACUCAAUGGGCCUUUAGGCCCAAUAGGCUAGCAUUUAUGUAAAUCAUUGGUAUUAACUACCCGGUUUGGUGGUUAUACAGGUCUGUUCGAUUUUGGAGGUCCUUAAUUUUGAACGGUUUGACUUUGGCUAUUUUCCGGUUUACCAAAGUGGGAGGUAAGGCAAAAUCAGGUGACGAUAGCAAACUCUGCCGUAGCCACAUAUUUGAAUUUUUUUUUCUGUUUUGUAACUUACACUUAUUGUUAAAGUUUCAGUUUUUUUUCUUGGAUCUAUUCACAUAAUCUUCCUAAUUUCUUAAUUACUAUGUUUGUUGGAUCCUAAAAAGACUAGUUUAAGUUCAGUCUUAAGUCUUUAUCUAUUCUCAAAUUGUAUGACAUAAUUGUCA
RNAcentral lists this long non-coding RNA (1416 nucleotides) under Brassica rapa (field mustard). Its description in RNAcentral is "long non-coding RNA (BRAP_LNC003835)". The record is from RNAcentral. Lineage: Eukaryota; Viridiplantae; Streptophyta; Magnoliopsida; Brassicales; Brassicaceae.